Molecule: small nuclear RNA, 107 nt
Organism: Neomonachus schauinslandi (Hawaiian monk seal)
Lineage: Eukaryota; Metazoa; Chordata; Mammalia; Carnivora; Phocidae
Source: RefSeq, a predicted model, not a curated record
GUGCUGACUUAAGCAGCACAUAUACUAAAAUUGGAAUGAUACAGAGAAAAUUAGCAUGGCCCCUGAGCAAGGAUGACACACAAAUUGGUGAAGUGUUCCAUAAUUUU